GCCCAGCACAAAGACUUGUCCCCAGGGGCCGCCGCCUCCCCCGCUGCUGCUGCCGCCAGCCUAGAGCCGCCCGCCGAAGCAGAGCCGGCGCCGGGGUCCUCAUCCCCACCGGUCCCGAGGGGCGGCUGCUGCCCGUCGCCACGAGGCCCAGGGGCCCGAGUGCCGAGCCCUUUGCUCCCUCGGCCGCGCGGGGACAGGGCGGCUGAGCAGCCUCCGCCUCUCCCGGCUGUGGGGGCCCCACUGAGUAUGUCGGAAGAGAGCGACAUGGAGAAAGCCAUCAAGGAAACUUCCAUUUUAGAAGAAUACAGUAUCAAUUGGACUCAGAAGCUGGGAGCUGGAAUUAGUGGUCCAGUUAGAGUCUGUGUAAAGAAAUCUACUCAAGAACGGUUUGCACUGAAAAUUCUUCUUGAUCGUCCAAAAGCUAGAAAUGAGGUACGUCUGCACAUGAUGUGUGCCACACACCCAAACAUAGUUCAGAUUAUUGAAGUGUUUGCUAACAGUGUCCAGUUUCCUCAUGAGUCCAGCCCUAGAUAGCUUUGGCUCUGCGGCACUGUCACUUGUUAAACA
Molecule: small RNA, 567 nt
Filed under: Pongo abelii (Sumatran orangutan)
Lineage: Eukaryota; Metazoa; Chordata; Mammalia; Primates; Hominidae
Description: processed transcript
Source: RNAcentral